Non-coding RNA from Rattus norvegicus (Norway rat), 69 nucleotides. NCBI's taxonomy places the organism in Eukaryota, Metazoa, Chordata, Mammalia, Rodentia, Muridae. The record is from Rfam.
GGAGAUUUAGCUCAGUGGUAGAGCGCUUGCCUAGCAAGCACAAGGCCCUGGGUUCGGUUCCCAGCUCCG